Molecule: long non-coding RNA, 577 nt
Filed under: Helianthus annuus (common sunflower)
Lineage: Eukaryota; Viridiplantae; Streptophyta; Magnoliopsida; Asterales; Asteraceae
Description: hypothetical non coding rna
Source: RNAcentral
GUUUAUCUCUCCGUUUGAAAAGCUUUGUUUCUUUUUCAGUUUCAUUCUUCUUUAUCACAUUUAUCGUCACCCUACCUUUUUUUCCUUUCUUCAUCUCGUAUAACGAUAGUGAAACAACGUCUUACUUACCGGAAACGCCAUAGAUUUCCGAUCAUUAGACAUCAUCCGCCACCGGAAAUACCAUUAUAACAGAGGGUUGUUCAAUACCAGUUUUUCAUCGCUUCUUCCUUUCUUCCCUUUCACCACGUCAUGAGAUCCGAUGUCGGCCACGUUUGUCGUGGUGGCUAAAAAAGGUGUCGCGUUGUAUGAGACGGCUAGGGUUCCAAUUAGGUGACGACAGUUUUAGGAUUUUUGUGGAACUUUAUGUGGUGACAACCGAUGGGAAGGACGAUGGAGACUGAUGUUGUGUGAUACGGCGGAGGGGGCAAUAGUUUAGGGUUUUCGUGGAACUUUAUGUUUUGAAAGACAAAUAUCUAAUAAUUUGUGUUUAUGUUAUUAAUAUAUUUAGUUAGAUAAAUAAUUCUUUACUAUAUAAGUGUUUCAAUGUUAUUAAUAAGUAUUCUAAAUAAGGCUUAGG